RNAcentral lists this microRNA (18 nucleotides) under Corchorus olitorius. RNAcentral's name for it is "ppy-miR-13". Lineage: Eukaryota; Viridiplantae; Streptophyta; Magnoliopsida; Malvales; Malvaceae. The record is from RNAcentral.
GAUGCAGCUUCUGAUGCU